AUUGCGAAAUUCGCGCCUCUGGUAGGGAACAGGGGGCGGGUAGGUGCCCAGAUUGCGGUAGCCCUUUCCACCUUGGUUUAUUUUUUACCACCCUGCCCGGGUUGGGGGGGGAAAGGGAUAGGUUGAAACGGGAAUUACACCUCCAGAGGAUUAUACAAACCGGAUUAUUAGUGUCGUCUGAGUAGUAUAUAAUAGUUAAAACUUUCAACAACGGAUCUCUUGGUUCUGGCAUCGAUGAAGAACGCAGCGAAAUGCGAUAAGUAAUGUGAAUUGCAGAAUUCAGUGAAUCAUCGAAUCUUUGAACGCACAUUGCGCCCCGUGGUAUUCCGCGGGGCAUGCCUGUUCGAGAGUCAUUAUGACCAAUCCCGUUCGCGGGGUCUUGGGCACCGCCAUCUGGCGGGCCUCAAAAUCAGUGGCGGUACGGCCGGGCUCUGAGCGUAGUAAAUCUUCUCGCUACAGGGUCCCGGGCGGCACUGGCCAGCAACCCCCAAUCUUUCACAGGUUGACCUCGGAUCAGGUAGGGAUACCCGCUGAACUUAA
This 540-nucleotide ribosomal RNA is filed under the name uncultured Zalerion. Its description in RNAcentral is "eukaryotic LSU rRNA". The stretch from base 200 to 353 matches the Rfam family "5.8S ribosomal RNA". The record is from RNAcentral. Lineage: Eukaryota; Fungi; Ascomycota.